This 510-nucleotide ribosomal RNA is filed under the name uncultured Entrophospora. Its description in RNAcentral is "SSU rRNA". It matches the Rfam family "Eukaryotic small subunit ribosomal RNA", at positions 569 to 1076 of the family's 1831-position model. Lineage: Eukaryota; Fungi; Glomeromycota; Glomeromycetes; Entrophosporales; Entrophosporaceae. The record is from RNAcentral.
AGCAGCCGCGGUAAUUCCAGCUCCAAUAGCGUAUAUUAAAGUUGUUGCAGUUAAAAAGCUCGUAGUUGAAUUUCGGGAUUGGCGCAUCGGUCGUGCCUCACGGGGUAUGAACUGGUGCAGUCAAUUUCUCACCUUCUGGAGAACCGCGAUGUCCUUAAUUGGAUGCCGCGGGGAACCAGGACCUUUACUUUGAAAAAAUUAGAGUGUUUAAAGCAGGCAUUUUUGCUUGAAUACAUUAGCAUGGAAUAAUAAAAUAGGACGGCAUGGUUCUAUUUUGUUGGUUUCUAGGACCACCGUAAUGAUUAAUAGGGAUAGUUGGGGGCAUUAGUAUUCAAUUGUCAGAGGUGAAAUUCUUGGAUUUAUUGAAGACUAACUACUGCGAAAGCAUUUGCCAAGGAUGUUUUCAUUAAUCAAGAACGAAAGUUAGGGGAUCGAAGACGAUCAGAUACCGUCGUAGUCUUAACCAUAAACUAUGCCGACUAAGAAUCAGACGAUGUAAUUUUUAAUGUA